CCUCUGCUAGGUGAAGUUCUGCAAGAAUUUUCUCUCUGAAUCCCCUUGAAACACCUGCUAUAUAUAAAGAACUUUUAUCUAAAUUUGCUUGAAGGCCUGAUACCUUUGAGAAUUGUUCAAAUUCUUCCAUCAAUAACUUCAUUGAGAUCUCAUCAGCUCUACAGCACAUCAAAAGAUCAUCUGCAAAGUACAUGUGUGUGAUUUGUAGUUUGGUGCAUUUGGGAUGGAAAUUAAAAUCUGGAUUCCUGCUUAGCUUCUUCAAAGAUCUAGUCAGAUACUCCAUGGCUAGAACAAACAAGUAGAGAGACAUUGGGUCCCCCUGUCUUAGUCAUUUCCUUGCUUCAAACUUGUUAGUCAAUCCUCCAUUUAUUAAAAGAGAGUAACUUACUGUGGAGACACAUUCCAUGGUUAGUACUACCAUUUUGUAAGGUACUCCAAAUUCAAGAAGUACUGCCUUUAGAAACUCCCAUUGCACAGUCAUAAGCCUUCCUAAUGUCUACUUUGAUCAUGCAUCUAGGAGACACUGCCUUUUGAGUAUAACCUUUGAUAAAUUCAUGUGCUAUAAUAACAUUAUCAUGUAUGUUUCUCCCCUUUAUGAAAGCAUACUGGGAAUGCCCAACCAAAUAAUCUACAACAAUUUUAAGCCUAUUAGUUAGAAUCUUAGUAAUGAUUUUUUACAAUGUUGAGCAGCAAACAAUGGGUCUAAAUUCUUUAACAUAGUUGGGAUUUUUCACUUUUUGAAUCAAUGUAACAGUUGUGCAGUUAAUCUCUUUUAAGAGUUUGCCAUUUUGGAAAAAUUGUUGCACUGCUUCCUCCCCACAAUUGGCCAAAACUCUUUAAAAAAUUCUUCAGGAUAACCAUCAAUACCUGGAGCCUUAUCAUUAGGUAGGUUCUGCACUAUCUGGCUGAUCUCCUCCUUUGUUACUGGAAAUAACAAGAAGUAUAUCUAUAUAUCCAAUGUCAUAAAUUUUGUUUUUGAUCCCAAUACAAAAACUUGUAUGUAUCUUCUUUAAGCUUUUGAUAACACUUUGGUAAAAUAGGUAUUUUUGUGUUGCUAAAGCUUAAAGAAGUAUAUCUAUAUAUCCAAUGUCAUAAAUUUUGCUUUUGAUCCCAAUACAAAAACUUGUGUAUAUCUUCUUUAAGCUUUUGAUAACACUUUGGUAAAAUAGGUAUUUUUGUUGUAUCCAUGUAACUAUUGAGUGAUAAAAUUAUGUUUAGUUCAUCGUCCAACAGUCAACCAAAACGCAUAUUUGAUGCUUCAUUUUUUUCGUAUUCAUAUCAUAACUCUUUAAAAAAAAAUUUUGUUCCAAGUAGAGUCUGAAAUGAUCAAUCCUUCCUGUAAAAAAAGAAAAUUCAUAACUCUUUAAAAAACAAUUUUGUUCCAAGUAGAGUUUGAAAUGAUCAUCCUUCCUGUAAAAAAAGAAAAAAAACACUUCUGUGUUCUCAAUUUUGAUGUAACAAAAAUAUGAAAUCCUCACAAAGAACGAAUAAAACAAACUUUAUACUAAAAAUUUUAACUGAAACGUAAAAUUUACAGAAAGACAGCGAGUUCUAAAAAUUAUACUAGAAUUGUAGGGGGCGCUCAAAUUGAGAACCCCUCCAAAAAUAGGCGUAUGCCACUAAAUGCAGCGCGCACACGGUAUUCUUUAGUAAAAGGCGAAAGAAUUGUUCGCUUUGUGCUCACUGCGUGGCUGCGUGAGUUAUACAAUG
This 1710-nucleotide long non-coding RNA is filed under the name Nicotiana benthamiana. Its description in RNAcentral is "long non-coding RNA (NBEN_LNC040422)". The record is from RNAcentral. Lineage: Eukaryota; Viridiplantae; Streptophyta; Magnoliopsida; Solanales; Solanaceae.